AAAAAAGAUAUUUAUUCAAAAUCAAAACUGUUAGCUUCUUUGAUUCUUCCAAUAAGUUUUUAGAUCAAAUAUUUCAUUUAAAAAAAAAUUCUUUCUUUUAUAAUCAAUGAAAUCCCUGAAAGCUCUUUUGAUAGUUGAAUAUUCCAUGAAUUGUUAAUUUCUGAGGAAAACAUUUCACUGGAUCAAUCUGUCAUGUCUAUUUCUAAGAAUAAUUCUGUUGAAUCGUUUAAUGUUGUACGGGCAGUGAAGAUUCACACAGAUACAUUAAAAAAUACCAAUAUGAAUUGUCAAAGUGAUAGACCUGUAACAAUUUGCUCUAAAUUCCACAAAAGUGAAAAUCUGUCAGAGAAAGAUCAAGUGAAUAUGGUGAAUGGGAAAAAUUUCAUAUUCUUGUUAUGAAAAAUUUUGUAUGUUCU
This 416-nucleotide long non-coding RNA is filed under the name Androctonus crassicauda. Lineage: Eukaryota; Metazoa; Arthropoda; Arachnida; Scorpiones; Buthidae. The record is from RNAcentral.